AUUGAACGCUGGCGGCAGGCCUAACACAUGCAAGUCGAGCGGAUGAAGGGAGCUUGCUCCUGGAUUCAGCGGCGGACGGGUGAGUAAUGCCUAGGAAUCUGCCUGGUAGUGGGGGAUAACGUCCGGAAACGGGCGCUAAUACCGCAUACGUCCUGAGGGAGAAAGUGGGGGAUCUUCGGACCUCACGCUAUCAGAUGAGCCUAGGUCGGAUUAGCUAGUUGGUGGGGUAAAGGCCUACCAAGGCGACGAUCCGUAACUGGUCUGAGAGGAUGAUCAGUCACUCUGGAACUGAGACACGGCCCAGACUCCUACGGGAGGCAGCAGUGGAGAAUAUUGGACAACGGGCGAAAGCCUGAUCCAGCCAUGCCGCGUGUGAAGAAGGUCUUCGGAUUGUAAAGCACUUUAAGUUGGGAGGAAGGGCAGUAAGUUAAUACCUUGCUGUUUUGACGUUACCAACAGAAUAAGCACCGGCUAACUUCGUG
RNAcentral lists this ribosomal RNA (482 nucleotides) under uncultured bacterium. Its description in RNAcentral is "partial 16S ribosomal RNA". It matches the Rfam family "Bacterial small subunit ribosomal RNA", at positions 30 to 507 of the family's 1533-position model. The record is from RNAcentral.